UGAGCGGAGACAGCAGUACGUGUUCCCCGCACACAGAACACAGAACACCGACCACCGGCUCCUGAAUCACUGGAACUGGAUUGUUUGAGAACCGCAGACAGCACCGUACUUUCUCUCUACUCCAACCCGGGAAAGGCGCGCCGUCCUGGGCCUGAACUGCACACGGAUCCAGCCUCUUCCACCGGUUCUCUGCUGCAGUGUCACACCGCGUCUCUGAUCCGUUUGCUCGGUCUGCAUAGCCUACAUGUGUGUUCGUGUGCGUGUUUGAGGACACUUUCGCAGAGCUGUUAAUGUGAGUGUUUCUCUCUCACACACACACACUCUCUCUGUCUCUCACACACACCUUUUGGAUUGGAAGCCAAUGCAGAGCUUUUAUCCCCUAUUUCUGGAUGGAUUUCUGAAUGGUUUACAAAUCCCCCAGCUGGAUUAGGAUCGCGGCUCAGAACAACAGUGGAAGUACCAACCAACAGAACUACACACACUCCACACACACACACCACACACAGACUGGAUUUUCUCCGGAGGUUUCCAUCGGAGUCGUCACAGUUUCCCCAACGCUGGUUUUUACAUCUGCCAAUCUGGAAGUGCCCGCUGAUUAUUCUCCUAAUCAGGACUAUCUGCUGUGUGAUUAGCUCGUUGCUAACAAGCCCUGCAGUUUGGAUGGAUGCCGCUGCCCGCUGGACCCAAGCACUGCUUUCAACUCUUAAUUGCAUUACCAUAUGUUCCCUCUGCAGCCUUCACUGACAGGACCAGGGCUGGAUCCCAAACUUUCGGUUUUUGGGUUUAGUCUUUCCUACCAU
This is a long non-coding RNA of Perca fluviatilis (European perch), 800 nucleotides long. RefSeq lists it as uncharacterized. The record is from RefSeq and is a predicted model, not a curated record. NCBI's taxonomy places the organism in Eukaryota, Metazoa, Chordata, Actinopteri, Perciformes, Percidae. The transcript is spliced from 3 exons.